Molecule: transfer RNA, 96 nt
Filed under: Lentzea sp. NBRC 102530
Lineage: Bacteria; Bacillati; Actinomycetota; Actinomycetes; Pseudonocardiales; Pseudonocardiaceae
Description: tRNA-Leu
Source: RNAcentral
GGCGUGGUCGGCGCGGGCGUGGGCGCCGGAGCGGGCAAGGCGUUCGGCGACGGCGUCGGCGACUCGAUCGGCCGUUCCAUCGGCCGCAACGCCGCC